GGCCUUUAGUUAAUGAUUUAAGGUCUGACCUGCCCAAUGAUUAUUUUGAAUGGCCGCAGUAUUUUGACUGUGCAAAGGUAGCAUAAUCAUUAGUUUUUUAAUUGAAAGCUGGAAUGAAUGGUUUGAUGAAAAAAUAACUGUCUCAAUAAAAUUUAUUUAGAAUUUUAAUUUUAAGUGAGAAAGCUUAAAUGUUUUAUGAAGACGAGAAGACCCUAUAGAGUUUAAUAAUAUCAUUGUUAAUUAUUUUAGGUUUUAUUUUUAAUAUUAAUAUAAAUAUUAUUUUGUUGGGGUGACGGAAAAAUUUAAGUAACUUUUUAUGUUUUAUAACAUUAAUUUAUGGAUUUUUGAUCCUGAUUUUUGGAUUAUAAGAUUAAAUUACCUUAGGGAUAACAGCGUAAUUUUUUUGGAGAGUUCUUAUCGAUAAAAAAGUUUGCGA
Molecule: ribosomal RNA, 436 nt
Filed under: Dailognatha quadricollis
Lineage: Eukaryota; Metazoa; Arthropoda; Insecta; Coleoptera; Tenebrionidae
Description: partial 16S ribosomal RNA
Source: RNAcentral